Molecule: unclassified non-coding RNA, 240 nt
Filed under: soil metagenome
Description: partial contains 5.8S ribosomal RNA, internal transcribed spacer 2, and large subunit ribosomal RNA
Source: RNAcentral
AACGGUCUAUACCUGCGGUACCUGCGGAGGGAUCAUUACCGAGUUUACAACUCCCAAACCCAAUGUGAACCAUACCAAACUGUUGCCUCGGCGGGGUCACGCCCCGGGUGCGUCGCAGCCCCGGAACCAGGCGCCCGCCGGAGGGACCAACCAAACUCUUUCUGUAGUCCCCUCGCGGACGUUAUUUCUUACAGCUCUGAGCAAAAAUUCAAAAUGAAUCAAAACUUUCAGCAACGGAUC